GCAGUGUUGGUUCAGUGGUAGAAUUCUUGCCUUCCAUGCAGGAGACCUGAGUUUGAUUUCCUGGUCAGUGCA
This 72-nucleotide transfer RNA is filed under the name Loxodonta africana (African savanna elephant). It matches the Rfam family "tRNA". From Rfam's summary of the family: Transfer RNA (tRNA) molecules are approximately 80 nucleotides in length. Their secondary structure includes four short double-helical elements and three loops (D, anti-codon, and T loops). The record is from Rfam by way of RNAcentral. Lineage: Eukaryota; Metazoa; Chordata; Mammalia; Proboscidea; Elephantidae.